UGUGGCAAGCAUUCAUGGGCACAUGGUGGAUGCCUUGGCAUCGAGAGCCGAUGAAGGACGUUGGAGCCUGCGAUAAGCCCUGGGGAGCUGGCAACCGAGCUGUGAUCCGGGGGUGUCCGAAUGGGGAAACCCAGCCGCAGUCAUGUGCGGUUACCCUCACCUGAAUAAAAUAGGGUGUUGGGAGGGAACGCGGGGAAGUGAAACAUCUCAGUACCCGUAGGAAGAGAAAACAACAGUGAUUCCGAGAGUAGUGGCGAGCGAAAUCGGAUCAGGCUAAACCAUGGUCGUGUGAUACCCGGCAGGGGUUGCGGUCAUGGGGUUGUGGGAGCGUUCGUGGUUCAUCUGCCGGUGGACUGCACGCGUGUGUGUGUGAAGGUGAAGUCCGUGAAAGCGGUGCCGUAGACGGUGAUAGCCCGGUAGCUGUAAGUGCGCAUAGUGUGGAGCGUUUUCCCAAGUAGCACGCCACCCCUGAAAUGGUGUGCGAAUCUGGCGGGACCACCCGUUAAGCCUAAAUACUUCUCGAUGACCGAUAGCGGACCAGUACCGUGAGGGAAAGGUGAAAAGUACCCCUGGCGGGGAGUGAAAUAGUACCUGAAACCGUGUGCCUUCAAUCCGUCAGAGCCCGGCUGCUCUUUGAGUGUUGGGGUGAUGGCGUGCCUUUUGAAGAAUGAGCCUGCGAGUUUGCGUUACGUGGCGAGGUUAACCCGUGUGGGGAAGCCGUAGCGAAAGCGAGUCCGAAGAGGGCGUUUGAGUCGCGUGAUCAAGACCCGAAGCGAAGUGAUCUAUCCAUGGGCAGGUUGAAGCGCGGGUAAGACCGCGUGGAGGACCGAACCCACUUAGGUUGAAAACUGAGGGGAUGACCUGUGGAUAGGGGUGAAAGGCCAAUCAAACUUCGUGAUAGCUGGUUCUCCCCGAAAUGCAUUUAGGUGCAGCGUUGUGUGUUUCUUGCCGGAGGUAGAGCACUGGAUAGCCGAUGGGCCCGACCAGGUUACUGACGUUAGCCAAACUCCGAAUGCCGGUAAGUGAGAGCGCAGCAGUGAGACUGCGGGGGAUAAGCUCCGUAGUCGAGAGGGAAACAGCCCAGACCAUCAGCUAAGGCCCCUAAGUGGUGACUAAGUGGAAAAGGAUGUGGAGUUGCUCGGACAACCAGGAGGUUGGCUUGGAAGCAGCCACCCUUGAAAGAGUGCGUAAUAGCUCACUGGUCAAGUGAUUCCGCGCCGACAAUGUAGCGGGGCUCAAGUCAUCCGCCGAAGCUAUGGCAGUCGCACAUCAACUCCUAACGGGGGUGUGGCUGGGUAGGGGAGCGGCGUGUCGUGGGUGAAGUCACCGAGUGAUCGAGUGGUGGAUACGACACGAGUGAGAAUGCAGGCAUGAGUAGCGAAUCACGGGUGAGAAACCCGUGCGCCGAUUGAUCAAGGGUUCCAGGGUCAAGCUAAUCUGCCCUGGGUAAGUCGGGACCUAAGGCGAGGCCGACAGGCGUAGUCGAUGGACAACGGGUUGAUAUUCCCGUACCGGCAACGUAGCGCCCAUGAUGAGCCCGGUGAUGCUAACCAUCCGAAGCCCACGUGAUUGAUCCCUUCGGGGUGAGACGUGUGGGUGGAGCGUGGGACCCGAUCCGGUAGUAGUCAAGCGAUGGGGUGACGCAGGAAGGUAGCCCAACCACGCCGAUGGUUGUGCGUGGGUAAGCGUGUAGGACGGGGUGUAGGCAAAUCCGUGCCCCUUGCUUUGAUGCUGAGUCUGAGACGUGAUGCCGACCCCUGAUGGGGGAAGUGGGUGAUCCUAUGCUGUCGAGAAAAACCUCUAGCGAGCUAUGCGCCGCCCGUACCCGAAACCGACUCAGGUGAUCAGGUAGAGAAUACCGAGGCGAUCGAGAGAACCAUGGUUAAGGAACUCGGCAAAAUGCCCCCGUAACUUCGGGAGAAGGGGGACCUGAUCCGUGAACCACCUUGCGUGGGGAAGCGGUGAUGGUCGCAGAGACCAGGCCCAAGCGACUGUUUACUAAAAACACAGGUCCGUGCGAAGUCGUAAGACGAUGUAUACGGACUGACUCCUGCCCGGUGCUGGAAGGUUAAGAGGACCUGUUAGACCACUUCGGUGGUUGAAGCGGAGAAUUUAAGCCCCAGUAAACGGCGGUGGUAACUAUAACCAUCCUAAGGUAGCGAAAUUCCUUGUCGGGUAAGUUCCGACCUGCACGAAUGGAGUAACGACUUGGGCGCUGUCUCAACCAUGGACUCGGCGAAAUUGCACUACGAGUAAAGAUGCUCGUUACGCGCGGCAGGACGGAAAGACCCCGGGACCUUUACUAUAGUUUGGUAUUGGUGUUUGGUUCGGCUUGUGUAGGAUAGGUGGGAGACUGUGAAGCAUUCACGCCAGUGGGUGUGGAGUCGACGUUGAAAUACCACUCUGGUCGUACUAGAUGUCUAACCUCGGACCGUGAUCCGGUUCAGGGACAGUGCCUGAUGGGUAGUUUAACUGGGGCGGUUGCCUCCUAAAAUGUAACGGAGGCGCUCAAAGGUUCCCUCAGCCUGGUUGGCAAUCAGGUGGCGAGUGUAAGUGCACAAGGGAGCUUGACUGUGAGACGGACAUGUCGAGCAGGGACGAAAGUCGGAACUAGUGAUCCGGCCACGGCAUGUGGAAGCGUGGUCGCUCAACGGAUAAAAGGUACCCCGGGGAUAACAGGCUGAUCUUCCCCAAGAGUCCAUAUCGACGGGAUGGUUUGGCACCUCGAUGUCGGCUCGUCGCAUCCUGGGGCUGGAGUAGGUCCCAAGGGUUGGGCUGUUCGCCCAUUAAAGCGGCACGCGAGCUGGGUUUAGAACGUCGUGAGACAGUUCGGUCCCUAUCCGCCGCGCGCGUUGGAAACUUGAGAAAGGCUGUCCCUAGUACGAGAGGACCGGGAUGGACGAACCUCUGGUGUGCCAGUUGUCCCGCCAGGGGCAUGGCUGGUUGGCUACGUUCGGAAGUGAUAACCGCUGAAUGCAUCUAAGCGGGAAGCACGUUUCAAGAUGAGGUUUCCCACCCGCUUUGCGGGGUAAGGCCUCCCACAGAUGAUGGGGUUGAUAGGCCGGAGGUGUACAGCAGUAAUGCCCAGCCGACCGGUACUAAUAGGCCGAGGGCUUGCUACA
This 3122-nucleotide ribosomal RNA is filed under the name Nocardioides sp. Its description in RNAcentral is "bacterial LSU rRNA". It matches the Rfam family "Bacterial large subunit ribosomal RNA". The record is from RNAcentral. Lineage: Bacteria; Bacillati; Actinomycetota; Actinomycetes; Propionibacteriales; Nocardioidaceae.